UACGGGGGGAGCAAGCGUUGUUCGGAUUUACUGGGCGUAAAGCGUGCGCAGGCGGUUUUGUAAGCCAGAUGUGAAAUCCCCGGGCUUAACCUGGGAAUGGCAUUUGGGACUGCAAGGCUGGAGUGCGGCAGAGGAGACUGGAAUUCCUGGUGUAGCAGUGAAAUGCGUAGAUAUCAGGAGGAAUACCGAUGGCGAAGGCAGGUCUCUGGGCUGACACUGACGCUCAUGCACGAAAGCGUGGGGAGCAAACAGG
RNAcentral lists this ribosomal RNA (253 nucleotides) under uncultured bacterium. Its description in RNAcentral is "partial 16S ribosomal RNA". It matches the Rfam family "Bacterial small subunit ribosomal RNA", at positions 524 to 776 of the family's 1533-position model. The record is from RNAcentral.